Molecule: ribosomal RNA, 428 nt
Filed under: uncultured archaeon
Lineage: Archaea
Description: bacterial SSU rRNA
Rfam family: Archaeal small subunit ribosomal RNA
Source: RNAcentral
UACCUGCAGCUCAAGUGGUGGCCGCUAUUAUUGGGCCUAAAACGUCCGUAGCCGGUUUGGUAAAUGCCUGGGUAAAUCGUGUAGCUUAACUAUACGAAUUCCGGGUAGACUGCCAAACUUGAGACCGGGAGAGGCUAGAGGUACUCCUGGGGUAGAGGUGAAAUUCUGUAAUCCUAGGGGGACCACCAGUGGCGAAGGCGUCUAGCUAGAACGGGUCUGACGGUGAGGGACGAAGCCCUGGGGCACAAACCGGAUUAGAUACCCGGGUAGUCCAGGGUGUAAACGCUGCUUGCUUGAUGUUAGCCGGGCUCCGAGCCCAGCUAGUGUCGGAGAGAAGUUGUUAAGCAAGCUGCCUGGGAAGUACGGUCGCAAGGCUGAAACUUAAAGGAAUUGGCGGGGAGCACAGCAACGGGUGGAGCGUGCGGUUU